Osmerus eperlanus (European smelt) is the source of this 2774-nucleotide RNA transcript. RefSeq lists it as uncharacterized. The record is from RefSeq and is a predicted model, not a curated record. The transcript has 3 exons. NCBI's taxonomy places the organism in Eukaryota, Metazoa, Chordata, Actinopteri, Osmeriformes, Osmeridae.
AUAUACACUCGUGCAAAUCACAGGCAGUCUGGUGCUAGCUAUGCUAUAAAAAUACUUGUAUUGUACCCGUAAGAAUAGUUUUAGGGAGUGUAUGGAAAACUAAUAUUUAUUUAAUCCUGCGUUACAGCACUACAGAACACAAGAUAGGACUCGCUAUAUUAAGUUUGAAAAUGGAAGUCGUUGUUGUGAAGUUAGAAGACGACGAGGAGGAGAGACCGUGCACCCAAAUUAGUCCUGAAAAGGAGGGAGACGAACAGUUUUUAGCUAACACUAUUCGGUCUAUUAAAACACAGACUCAAGACAACACAUGUUUGGAAUCAAAUACCUCCGAAAAUGUCAAGAUUGAACAUGAUGUCGAAUUAGGAAACAUCGGAGAUAAUAAAGCCAUAUGGAGGAGACGUUCAACUCUGGUGAAUGAAAUAUUCUCAAAGGUGACGAGCAGAAAACGAAAAUUAGAAGAAAACAUGAGAUGCAAGAAAAUAGGAUUAGAUGUGGAUGUGGGGUCAGGACCAAAGCCGAAACUGGAUUUGCAGUUACUUACGAACGGUGUAAUGAAAGAAAUUGCAGAGUUUGCCAAAGAACUGUCGACUCAUUCUCAAAAACACUACAUCGCUGAAAUUCUGGAGUACAAUUUUCAUAUUGGCUUUGAAAACAGUAAACAAAGACGUGAAUUUGCACAUCAAACUUGGCAGAGAGUGGUCGAAAUGCAGAAACGUCUAAAACAGUAUCCUGACGAUUUAUCUAUGUUAAAUGAACCAUGGAUGCUCAGUAUACAUCCAUAUUACAUGUUUCCAAAGACUUCCAGUCAGACAGACCCUAUUAGAGAUUCUGGAAUCAAGUCAGAGCAUCUGGGAUAUGCUGAAAUCUGUGUUAAAAGUGAGUCUGACAUGACAGCCAACCAAGACAUCAAGGUAGAGGCAUUCUAUACUGUGCCAGAAGAGACCAAGGCAGACCUCUACCCCCUGUGUCAGGAAAUUGGUCUGGACCUUGAUGUGACGUAUAAAGGUUGGUCUAAAGAGAAACUUGACAAGGAUGUUUUGACCAAAGGGGUUAUGAUUGAAGUGGCUAAGUAUACCAAAGAACUUUGUGGGACAUACAGACAGAUUGUCUUUGAUAUCUUAGAACACAAUUUUGAUCUUGAUUUACAAGCUGUGGACUCAGAGCUCUUUCGAUCAAUUAUCUUCAGCAUUAGUUUAAUAGGAAUGAAGAAAAAUAGAAAUCGUAAUCUUCGGGCAUGGCAUGAAACAGCAUUCUCAGUGCAUAUAUAUAAAAAGAAGGAUCCUAAAUUGGCACCAGCUGUUUCUAAAAGGCAGUCGGAACGACAGAAGAGACAACUGUCUGCUGCUGAUUGUGAUAAAAAGAAAAGGGAGGCAGAGACUCAAUCUGCAGGAAUGUCUGAGAGAAAUUUCAAGAAGCGUACAUGUAAGUUCAGCAGCUUUGAAAGGACUGACCGAUAUAACGAUGAAACUGCAGAUGUUGACCAAAUUGAUGACCAAGGCUACAUGUGCUCACUGGAGAACCCUGGUCUUGAACCUUCACUAACAGUCCUGUGUGCUGCUGAUGGUGGACACGUAUCCUCUCCUGCCCCUCUCCUGACACCAUCUUAUGACACUCACACUGCCUUGUGUGCUGAAAAAGUGAAGCUGCAAGACAUAUAUAUGAGGCCAAGGCUUGAUUACUAUCCUUUUUGUGAACAAUCAGGCAUAGACCUUGAUGUAUAUUCAAAAUUGGAAUCCAAAGAAAAACAUCAUUUGCAGGUUCUGACGAAUGGUGUGAUGUUCGAGAUCCAUAAAUAUGUUAGAAGAAACAGAAAAAAGAAGGCCUAUUCACGCUUUAUAUAUGACAUUUUGGAGUACAACUUUGAUAUGAGUUUCCACAAUCUGAAGUGGUAUUCCUUUACGCAAAGAUUAGUGUUGGAUGUUAAACAACUGGCAAAAACAUCCUUUAUCAAUCGAAUAGUAUGGUAUGUUAAAAAACUGGCGGCAACAUAUCGCCGUGACGUGGCCAUCAACCCAAAUCAUACCACUGAAGUGUUUGCACUACACUCAAAAAUACCAACAGAAAAAAAGAGAAAGGAGACGGUUCCUCAACCUGCAAGAACGUCUGAGAGAAUUUUCAAGAAGAAGACCUGUAAAUUGAGCAACUUUGAAAGGACCAACCCAUGUACAGAUGGAACUGCAGACUUUGGCCAAAUUGAUGACCUAGGCUACAUGUGCUCACUGGAGAACCCUGGCCUUGAACCCUUGCUUACAGAUCAAGCAAACAUGUCUCAUAUAAAAAAGGAGUCACAUUAGUCACUUAAAGAAUGAGCAGAGUUUGAAAUAGUGUCCCACAACCCAAGGUGCUGAUGGAUUUGCUACCACAGAUGGCAGAAGAUUUAAAUGCAGGAAAAUGUAAAGGUUAGACCAUGUAAGAAGAUUGCAGUACCUUUCUUCAGUUGUAAAUGUUUCCCUGAACAUUUUGGCGUUGACAAAGAUUACUGUCUUGAGUUUUUCUAGAAGAAUGUUUAAUCAUAGUUUUGUGUCAAUGACGAGAAGACCUUAGUUGUAGAGAACGUUUUAAAUAAUUUCUGUUUCUCUCAUCGGUCAAUGGCCAGAUGAAAUUGUUUUAAAGCAGUACUUACUUCCAGCCUUUAGGUGGCAGUAUGGUAAUAUCCCUGCUCGUUACAACAGGAACACCAGCAUUGGGCUUCCAUUGAGUUGUAACUGGCAUCUGCUAGGAAUUUUGAAAGCCAGAAACCUUUUGUUUUGAUUUGUAAUAAAAAGUUAACCUUA